AUGGCACCCUGCUAAAGCAGAGGACACAUUGUAGCUUAGCUGUUACGAUGAAAUUAGCCUGUAUUUACCUCACUUUACAACAAAAAAAGUAUUACAUAGUUGUAAUUUAACAGAGGACGCAGGGAGCGUUGCGUAAUUUCUACGACAUUGUUUAACAGAAUUUGUUGAAUAUUACGGCUCCCGUGUCCGUGGAGGAUUUACAACCGUUGAAUCUAACCGUGUACAUUGUUUUAGCUCUGCAAACCUGUGAAUAUGCGCGUGUUUUUACUUCGCUCGUUGUUGCAGUCUUGUAUAACACGACGUUGUAACACACCCACUCUGUGCCGUUUGGUGGGGAAGUCGUCCAUUUCUCUUCCAAAUAUUGCUAAGCAGUAAAAUGGGGGGAAGGGAGGGAAAUGGGGAAUGCAGCUUAAUGAAUGAGACCCCGUGAGUUACAGCAAUUUAUUAACAAUAGAGACUGAUGCAAGGCUGACCAUCAAGGAAGAUUCACAAGAAAACACACACCAGCAGCAUGACUUACAGAUAAGAAAAAUAAACAACAGUUAGUUUAAGCUACUUUUUGCAUCAUUUGCGCCAAAGUUUUAUUUAGGAAUAAUGCUAAAACAAGCAACUUCUUUUUUUUCAGUGUCCAUGCUAAUGUUUUCUGUGUGACUCUGCAAACUUGGGAAUGUAACAACCAAAAAGAUCAGCAAAGCCUGUCUCACAAAAGUUAAAGGCAGCCUGGAGUUUCGGGUUGAUUUGAGUCGUAUGACGCAUCUGAACGUGCUUUUUGAAAGAACAAAAAGGACCUAGCUUUCAACGGACUUUGGGCCAGUCUCACACACGGUCGGAGAAAAUCAUCCCCACAGUAGCACGCUGCCACCACCGUGGGUCAGAGGGACAGUCGUUUUUCCAAGGUGAUGUGAAACGGAGUGCCAGUUUCUGUUUCAUGUUCGGCCUCGUCUACCCAGAGCAUUUUCUUCCACCCGUUUUUUCUUCUCGCACGUCUCGUGGCAAACGACCAACACAACUUUUCAUGACUUUCGUCUUGUCGUUUCUUCAUAAAGGCCACAUUAGUGGCGUGGAUGACUAAUUCUUCUCAGGCGACCUUGGUGCGCACACAAAAACGGCUAACGCUUAGUGCACACGCAGCAAAGUCAAUCUUCCUCAACUGUGUCUUAUUGCGAACAACACUUGAACUUAACUGCAUCCUUGAAAUGUAUGAUAUUUUGAUACAAAAAGAUAAUUGCAGUUAUAUUCAUGUGUUUACGUAGAGCAAAACCAGCCAGGAGUUAAUGUUCUCCCAACCUGAAAACACAGCAAAAACGAAUAAUCUUUUUAUGUUUUUUAAGAUAAUAAAGUAAGCAAACCAGAAAAAACGUGUUGCUCUUUUUGCCCGUUUGUUGCAACCAUUUAAAUUGGAAUAUUUGUUUCUUUUUCAUAUUGUAAUAGUUUUAUAAAAGAAAUUAAUAAAAACAAAAAAUUUCAUUUAACAGACUAGAUUUCCCACAAGGAAUAGCUUUUUAGUGUUCAGUGUUCAACCCCUUUUAUGAUUGGAUAAUAUCUCCCGACAUAGCAAUUUUAUAUUUACUAAACCAAGGCUUUAUUCAGACAUUAUUUGGAAAACAAAAAACCCUUACAGGUUUGUUUUGUCCUGUUUUUACACCUACAUGUUUUAGCUCAUUCACCUAAUUUUAAAAACAGACAGAGAUUACCUAAAUAAAUGCAAAAUGCAGAUUUCAAAUAAUUUGCUCUUUUACGGCAGGGUAAAGCAAUCCAAACCAACAGCUAAAAAUAUAAUUAUUUUUUAUUUUUUUACUUUUUAAAAUUUUAUUUCACCCAAAUCUAAUUAGUGUAGCACUUGAAGAAUCAAGAAAUUACCCCAAAAAAAGAAACAACAAAAAAAACACCGUGUUUGACAUCAUGAAGUGGGUUAAAAUAUGGCAAAAACAAAAAACAUCAUAUUACGAUUGAAAGUAAACCAAGAACAGAACAAAUUAUUGUUAUCCAAAACUCCUGAUGUCAGUCCUCACCAGCACAGAUGAGCACAAAAUGACCCCUGGCAGAUUUAAAGAUGUUUUCUUUUAACCAAAGUAUUUGCGCGUCGUAGCAAACGAGACGGGCAUCGCUCCAAAUAAAAUAAAAUAAAAACAAGCGGAGUCCGUUAAAUAAUAAUAAUAAAGAAAAUCCAUCUUUUAAAACAUAAAGAAAUACCUGUCAUAUCCUUUCCAGGAUAACUGAAAAGUUUCUGCAUUUUUUCCACCUGUAUUUGGAUAAUUGAACUUUGGUGAGGAGCUCCAAGUCUCUGAGGUUGGAAUGCCUACUUCUCAUCACCCUAAUCUUUAUUUCUCUACACAGAUUGUCUAUCAAGGCAGAGCUCUGUCAUAUGGCUUCAAAUCAGAAGAAACAUGCCGUUGAAAGCAUUGUAAACGUGCAUUUUCCAGCGUUAGGAUUAGAAAUAAAUAACCAUUUUAUCAACUUUGAAAAAUUUAGCAAUUUUGUCUGUAUUAUGGCUUGCUCUGUUGUCUUUUUUGUUUGUUUGUUUCUUUUUUGGGAGGGUGGGGGUCAUUGGGCUGCAAAUGAUGUGCAUUUUAAAAUCAAAAUUAUUGUUUCUUUUCUCUCCAUAAACAUAGAGCGUUCCAUUCAGGAAAAUUACUUCAGUCUCUCAUCUAAAAUGGAUUUAAGCACAAUUUGCAAGCUAUGUGACCACACGGCAAAGCAAUUUUGCACAGUUUAGUAGAUAUAUAUAUAUAUAUAGAACAAAAAAAAGUUAUCUCAUUGAGAGUUUUCCAAUCUAGAUACGUUUUAUUUAAUAAGAGAGAGCUAAAAUUAGAAAAAAACAAAAAGAAAGAAGAGAAUACCAGUUAGGUUGCUGACCUAUGGAGUGACACGGCCACAAGGAGGCGACCUCACCCUGAUCCACCCAGCAUGUCACAGCCAAAACAGUGGAAUCAGAGGUUAUAAUUUAUUUUACAAACAGGCAGACAUUAUGGGAGCAAAUAGAAACUGAAUGCACUGUUGUUAGCUUAUAUCCAAAGACCUUGUUGAGACACUAGAACUGCUGUAUUUGUUUCUAAUGUGCGCUGUUUUAGCAAUUCUGUAGUUUUCACAGUUUUUACUACAGCUUACUAAAAUGAACAAAAUGCUGCAAGGGGCUUAAAUCCCACCAGUUCGUCCCUUUGUGAUGAGGAUUCAUGAGCACAACACAAAUAAAAAUGUUUGGAUUCUGUCUUCUUGUAGAUGCUACCAUGGAAAACCUCAAAUUUGGUCGAUCAGCACAGGUGUUUGAUGUAGAUGGAGACUUAUUAUUUUUAAUUGGGACAAAAUGAUCACAAAGCAAAAUCUUCUUACAGUAGAAAACAUCGGCUUCAACACAAAGUACUCGUCUUUGAGUAACCACACUUUUUGCGCCCUCCUUUACCCAAAAUCAAACUUUGCUGCACCAAAAAUCAGAUUUUAAUGAAUAUAACAAACUUGGUUAAAGUUUCAAUUAGGCAAAGCUUUCAAGUUGUGGACGUCCAUUUCUAGCAACAACUCUGACUACUUUCUUUAACUAAAGUGUUGCAUGGCUAGUUGGUAACAGAAAAUGUUCUUUGGACUUUCAACUCCUUCUGACUUGACGAUUUUGGCCCAAGCGAGGAAACGUUCGGACACUCCUGGUUUAUGGUUUUGAACGACAGGUCAAAUGAGGAGGCCGAACGGUUUCACUGGUCCCACCACUCUAACAAAUGCUGACCUUUCACUUCCUGACACAGCAGUUGUAUUUAACUCUGCCACGUGCCCCUGGCGACCUCCCACACACACACACGCACACACACACACAAAAAGGUGUAAAGAUGGACACACACACGCAGCGCUUUAAAAAGUACUUCUAAACCUGGACACAUUGAAGCGGCGCUCGGGAAUGCUAACCGUUUGUCAAAACAAAGCCAAAAAUAAGAAGUUGCAGUUUGCAAGGGGAAAGGUUGUUCUAUUUAGGUGACACCAAAAAAAUGGAACUUUUUGGGGGGCAAAAUGUAAAAAAGCCACAUUGGAAAACUGCAGCACAUUUCCCUAAACCAUCUGGUCUGCAACCGGUCCAACCCUAAGAGCCACUUCUGCUCAACAAAACUUAAGAGUCACAAAAGCAACAUGACUCUUCAGACAAUAGGAAAUGUGUUUGUAUUUUUAAAUUACAGAAAAAAAAAUUGAUUUUUGUUUCAGAGUUCAUACCUUUCUUUUAAAUUUUAUCGAAAAAGUACAUAGUUUGCAACAGACUGACAAAAGAAUAUAUAUUUUUUACACCGUUAGUGUCGUUCUCUGUGGAAAUGUAAUGCAUAGAUUGGUUGCCGACGCCUAGGCCUGCCACAAACAUCACAAUAGCGAAACAUGGCGGUGGCAGCAUCAUGCCGUGGGGAGGGUUUAUUCAGCUUAAAUGGAGAAGCUAGUUGUGUUGAAGAAGGCUUGAGAAGAAAGCUCACCUUCUUUUAGGAAGAGCUACGAUGUAAUAGUUUAGGUCAGGGGUGUCCAAAGGUUUAGUCAUGUGGGUCAAAAGUUGAAAUGACUCCAAGAACUCCAAAAAAUAAAAAUAUAACAUUAGCAAAUCAAGUAUUUAAACUUUUUUGUAUAAAACGAAUGUUUUUCAUUACAUUGAAAGGGAGUUUUUCAUUUCUCUUGGGCUCAAUUGAAACAUUAUUAAAUCAUUCCAAACUACUUGCUAUAUUUAGCCAAGUUUAGUAAAUUCAGUAAAAGCAGAUUUGGGUGCAUCAAAGUCAACAUUUGAGUAAAAGUGUCGGUUAUAAAAGGCUUAGUUAUAAAAACAAGAAUAAUUUGCGUCCUACUUAACAUUUUCCACUGGUGUCAGCAAUAAUUUUACCCUGAUUACAAAGAAAAAUCUGUCCAAGGGCCACAGAUACCCACCAGGAUGUCCAUAACCUAACACUCCAAGUACAUUGGUGUGUUAGGACGGACCAGUCAAAGUCCACACAUAAAUAAACUGUGAACACAUUGACCUUGUGCGUGCCAUGUGUCCUCAGAUUUUUUGGGGUUAUAAAAACUUUAGAAACCACAGAAUUUCUUCAACACCACAAUCACGCUUUGUUUCCUUUCGUCACGUAAAACCCCAAAUAUAACCACGUUGAACUUUGACCCAGAAACCCCACAUUUGUUCUAUUUACGCUAAAAAAAAAAGGAAGAAAGAAAGACGGUGGGGGCAAGUAUGUGUGAUGGACUUUUUCUUUUAUUUCAAAAUAUUCUCUCCAAACAGGAUGAAACUCCGCCGAAGCCCAGAGGGUCCGACGCCAACGGAGCCGCCCAGAACAGGAGCACCACUCGUUUAUUGCUAUGUCACUCUCUGCUUCAGGACAAGAUGUUCAAAAAAAAUAAAAAAAAAAGGAAAGAAAGAAAAAAUACUCACAAACACUUGCACUCCAACACACACAUACAAAAGGAGCUAUGUGGAACGGCAUCAGGGAUUCUAAAAACUAGGAAUUGUAUUUUGUAUGUUUUUGUUUUCUUACACUGCAGAUGUUUCUUAUGUUGUCUGAUCACCCACUGCUCUGCAUUUUUAACCUUCCACCUUACCCCAAAGAGUCUGGGGGGCGGCGAGGGAGAGGGGUAGAGAUCAGGGCAUCUCCUCAUGACAGGCCGAUUAUGGUGACCUUCUUCGCAGAGGAAUAACUACAAAUAAAAGGCCAAGCUGGUUUAGAGAUCAUAACAGUCACAUUUAUGCCCCCGAAUCCCGUUUAAAAAAAAAAAAUUUUUUCAGGCA
This is a long non-coding RNA of Gambusia affinis (western mosquitofish), 5728 nucleotides long. RefSeq lists it as uncharacterized. The record is from RefSeq and is a predicted model, not a curated record. The transcript has 2 exons. NCBI's taxonomy places the organism in Eukaryota, Metazoa, Chordata, Actinopteri, Cyprinodontiformes, Poeciliidae.